UCGCUCCUACCGAUUGAGCGAUCCGGUGAAUUAUUUGGAGUGCUGACAAUACCAGUCUUGGUUUUUUGUCGGUGCGAAAUUUUGUGAACCUUAUCGCUUAGAGGAAGGAA
Molecule: ribosomal RNA, 110 nt
Filed under: uncultured eukaryote
Lineage: Eukaryota
Description: partial small subunit ribosomal RNA
Rfam family: Eukaryotic small subunit ribosomal RNA
Source: RNAcentral